RNAcentral lists this ribosomal RNA (113 nucleotides) under Chelydra serpentina (North American snapping turtle). The record is from RNAcentral. Lineage: Eukaryota; Metazoa; Chordata; Testudines; Chelydridae.
CUACGGCCAUACCACCCUGAACACGCCCGAUCUCGUCUGAUCUCGGAAGCUAAGCAGGGUGGGCCUGUUAGUACUUGGAUGGGAGACCUCCUGGGAAUACUGGGUGCUGUAGG